UGCGUUGAUUCAUUUCUGCCCAUGGAG
This 27-nucleotide non-coding RNA is filed under the name Mus musculus (house mouse). Lineage: Eukaryota; Metazoa; Chordata; Mammalia; Rodentia; Muridae. The record is from RNAcentral.